This 253-nucleotide ribosomal RNA is filed under the name uncultured bacterium. RNAcentral's name for it is "partial 16S ribosomal RNA". It matches the Rfam family "Bacterial small subunit ribosomal RNA", at positions 524 to 776 of the family's 1533-position model. The record is from RNAcentral.
UACGUAGGGGGCAAGCGUUGUCCGGAAUCAUUGGGCGUAAAGCGCGUGUAGGCGGCUCGACAAGUCCGCUGUGAAAGUCCAGGGCUCAACCCUGGGAUGCCGGUGGAUACUGUCGAGCUUGAGUCCGGAAGAGGCGAGUGGAAUUCCUGGUGUAGCGGUGAAGUGCGCAGAUAUCAGGAGGAACACCAAUGGCGAAGGCAGCUCGCUGGGACGUGACUGACGCUGAGACGCGAAAGCGUGGGGAGCAAACAGG